This 2789-nucleotide ribosomal RNA is filed under the name Escherichia coli. RNAcentral's name for it is "bacterial LSU rRNA". It matches the Rfam family "Bacterial large subunit ribosomal RNA". Lineage: Bacteria; Pseudomonadati; Pseudomonadota; Gammaproteobacteria; Enterobacterales; Enterobacteriaceae. The record is from RNAcentral.
AGCGUACACGGUGGAUGCCCUGGCAGUCAGAGGCGAUGAAGGACGUGCUAAUCUGCGAUAAGCGUCGGUAAGGUGAUAUGAACCGUUAUAACCGGCGAUUUCCGAAUGGGGAAACCCAGUGUGAUUCGUCACACUAUCAUUAACUGAAUCCAUAGGUUAAUGAGGCGAACCGGGGGAACUGAAACAUCUAAGUACCCCGAGGAAAAGAAAUCAACCGAGAUUCCCCCAGUAGCGGCGAGCGAACGGGGAGCAGCCCAGAGCCUGAAUCAGUGUGUGUGUUAGUGGAAGCGUCUGGAAAGGCGUGCGAUACAGGGUGACAGCCCCGUACACAAAAAUGCACAUGCUGUGAGCUCGAUGAGUAGGGCGGGACACGUGGUAUCCUGUCUGAAUAUGGGGGGACCAUCCUCCAAGGCUAAAUACUCCUGACUGACCGAUAGUGAACCAGUACCGUGAGGGAAAGGCGAAAAGAACCCCGGCGAGGGGAGUGAAAAAGAACCUGAAACCGUGUACGUACAAGCAGUGGGAGCACAGAGCAAUCUGUGUGACUGCGUACCUUUUGUAUAAUGGGUCAGCGACUUAUAUUCUGUAGCAAGGUUAACCGAAUAGGGGAGCCGAAGGGAAACCGAGUCUUAACUGGGCGUUAAGUUGCAGGGUAUAGACCCGAAACCCGGUGAUCUAGCCAUGGGCAGGUUGAAGGUUGGGUAACACUAACUGGAGGACCGAACCGACUAAUGUUGAAAAAUUAGCGGAUGACUUGUGGCUGGGGGUGAAAGGCCAAUCAAACCGGGAGAUAGCUGGUUCUCCCCGAAAGCUAUUUAGGUAGCGCCUCGUGAAUUCAUCUCCGGGGGUAGAGCACUGUUUCGGCAAGGGGGUCAUCCCGACUUACCAACCCGAUGCAAACUGCGAAUACCGGAGAAUGUUAUCACGGGAGACACACGGCGGGUGCUAACGUCCGUCGUGAAGAGGGAAACAACCCAGACCGCCAGCUAAGGUCCCAAAGUCAUGGUUAAGUGGGAAACGAUGUGGGAAGGCCCAGACAGCCAGGAUGUUGGCUUAGAAGCAGCCAUCAUUUAAAGAAAGCGUAAUAGCUCACUGGUCGAGUCGGCCUGCGCGGAAGAUGUAACGGGGCUAAACCAUGCACCGAAGCUGCGGCAGCGACGCUUAUGCGUUGUUGGGUAGGGGAGCGUUCUGUAAGCCUGCGAAGGUGUGCUGUGAGGCAUGCUGGAGGUAUCAGAAGUGCGAAUGCUGACAUAAGUAACGAUAAAGCGGGUGAAAAGCCCGCUCGCCGGAAGACCAAGGGUUCCUGUCCAACGUUAAUCGGGGCAGGGUGAGUCGACCCCUAAGGCGAGGCCGAAAGGCGUAGUCGAUGGGAAACAGGUUAAUAUUCCUGUACUUGGUGUUACUGCGAAGGGGGGACGGAGAAGGCUAUGUUGGCCGGGCGACGGUUGUCCCGGUUUAAGCGUGUAGGCUGGUUUUCCAGGCAAAUCCGGAAAAUCAAGGCUGAGGCGUGAUGACGAGGCACUACGGUGCUGAAGCAACAAAUGCCCUGCUUCCAGGAAAAGCCUCUAAGCAUCAGGUAACAUCAAAUCGUACCCCAAACCGACACAGGUGGUCAGGUAGAGAAUACCAAGGCGCUUGAGAGAACUCGGGUGAAGGAACUAGGCAAAAUGGUGCCGUAACUUCGGGAGAAGGCACGCUGAUAUGUAGGUGAAGCGACUUGCUCGUGGAGCUGAAAUCAGUCGAAGAUACCAGCUGGCUGCAACUGUUUAUUAAAAACACAGCACUGUGCAAACACGAAAGUGGACGUAUACGGUGUGACGCCUGCCCGGUGCCGGAAGGUUAAUUGAUGGGGUCAGCGCAAGCGAAGCUCUUGAUCGAAGCCCCGGUAAACGGCGGCCGUAACUAUAACGGUCCUAAGGUAGCGAAAUUCCUUGUCGGGUAAGUUCCGACCUGCACGAAUGGCGUAAUGAUGGCCAGGCUGUCUCCACCCGAGACUCAGUGAAAUUGAACUCGCUGUGAAGAUGCAGUGUACCCGCGGCAAGACGGAAAGACCCCGUGAACCUUUACUAUAGCUUGACACUGAACAUUGAGCCUUGAUGUGUAGGAUAGGUGGGAGGCUUUGAAGUGUGGACGCCAGUCUGCAUGGAGCCGACCUUGAAAUACCACCCUUUAAUGUUUGAUGUUCUAACGUUGACCCGUAAUCCGGGUUGCGGACAGUGUCUGGUGGGUAGUUUGACUGGGGCGGUCUCCUCCUAAAGAGUAACGGAGGAGCACGAAGGUUGGCUAAUCCUGGUCGGACAUCAGGAGGUUAGUGCAAUGGCAUAAGCCAGCUUGACUGCGAGCGUGACGGCGCGAGCAGGUGCGAAAGCAGGUCAUAGUGAUCCGGUGGUUCUGAAUGGAAGGGCCAUCGCUCAACGGAUAAAAGGUACUCCGGGGAUAACAGGCUGAUACCGCCCAAGAGUUCAUAUCGACGGCGGUGUUUGGCACCUCGAUGUCGGCUCAUCACAUCCUGGGGCUGAAGUAGGUCCCAAGGGUAUGGCUGUUCGCCAUUUAAAGUGGUACGCGAGCUGGGUUUAGAACGUCGUGAGACAGUUCGGUCCCUAUCUGCCGUGGGCGCUGGAGAACUGAGGGGGGCUGCUCCUAGUACGAGAGGACCGGAGUGGACGCAUCACUGGUGUUCGGGUUGUCAUGCCAAUGGCACUGCCCGGUAGCUAAAUGCGGAAGAGAUAAGUGCUGAAAGCAUCUAAGCACGAAACUUGCCCCGAGAUGAGUUCUCCCUGACUCCUUGA